GAAUAUUGGUUUAGUUGUUGCUGGCUCUUCAGAGCAUGUGCACACUUUAUUCAAUUAUAUUAUAAAACUCUAUGUGCAUUUUUUGUAGAUCUGAAAUCAUUCAAGGAAGUCUUAUCUACUUCACUUGGAAUAUAGACUUGCUGAGCAAACAAUUGUUUAUUAGCCAGCUUCUCUUAUAUUUUGGAUCUAUGUUUUUUUUUUUUCAUAUAUACCUAAAAUGUUAUUGACUAUUGGGGAUAAUGGCAUUUAAUUAUGCCUAUAAAAUGAAAUACAACUUUCAACAACGGAUCUCUUGGUUCUCGCAUCGAUGAAAAACGCACCGAAAUGCGAUAAGUAAUGUGAAUUGCAAAAUUCAGUGAAUCAUUGAAUCUUUGAACGCACCUUGCCCUUCUUGGUAUUCCAAGAAGCAUACCUGUUUGAGUGUCAUAUAAAUUCUCAACCUCAUUUAAAUGAGGCUUUGGAUAUUGGGAACUGCUGAACAAAUUUAUUUUUGAAUUCAGCUGUCCUUAAAUAAAUUAGGGGAAUUAUAAUGACUUAUUUCAUUUGGUAUGAUAUUUAUCUGUACCAUUUUGAAGUCUAUCAUUGUCUGCUUAUAAAAAUAACUUGAUUAUUUUGACCUCAAAUCAGGUAGGACUACCCGCUGAACUUAAGCAUAUCAAUAAGCGGAGGA
Molecule: ribosomal RNA, 670 nt
Filed under: Entoloma petchii
Lineage: Eukaryota; Fungi; Basidiomycota; Agaricomycetes; Agaricales; Entolomataceae
Description: eukaryotic LSU rRNA
Rfam family: 5.8S ribosomal RNA (bases 273-426)
Source: RNAcentral